GGGAUUCCCCUAGUAGCGGCGAGCGAAGCGGGAAGAGCUCAAAUUUAUAAUCUGGCACCUUCGGUGUCCGAGUUGUAAUCUCUAGAAAUGUUUUCCGCGUUGGACCGCACACAAGUCUGUUGGAAUACAGCGGCAUAGUGGUGAGACCCCCGUAUAUGGUGCGGACGCCCAGCGCUUUGUGAUACAUUUUCGAAGAGUCGAGUUGUUUGGGAAUGCAGCUCAAAUUGGGUGGUAAAUUCCAUCUAAAGCUAAAUAUUGGCGAGAGACCGAUAGCGAACAAGUACCGUGAGGGAAAGAUGAAAAGCACUUUGGAAAGAGAGUUAACAGUACGUGAAAUUGUUGGAAGGGAAACGCUUGAAGUCAGACUUGCUUGCCGAGCAAUCGGUUUGCAGGCCAGCAUCAGUUUUCCGGGAUGGAUAAUGGUAGAGAGAAGGUAGCAGUUUCGGCUGUGUUAUAGCUCUCUGCUGGAUACAUCUUGGGGGACUGAGGAACGCAGUGUGCCUUUGGCGGGGGUUUCGACCUCUUCACACUUAGGAUGCUGGUGGAAUGGCUUUAAACGACCCGUCUUGAAACACGCGGGACCAGG
Molecule: ribosomal RNA, 586 nt
Filed under: Rhodotorula mucilaginosa
Lineage: Eukaryota; Fungi; Basidiomycota; Microbotryomycetes; Sporidiobolales; Sporidiobolaceae
Description: partial large subunit ribosomal RNA
Rfam family: Eukaryotic large subunit ribosomal RNA
Source: RNAcentral